Anguilla anguilla (European eel) is the source of this 301-nucleotide long non-coding RNA. RefSeq lists it as uncharacterized. The transcript has 4 exons. The record is from RefSeq and is a predicted model, not a curated record. Lineage: Eukaryota; Metazoa; Chordata; Actinopteri; Anguilliformes; Anguillidae.
GCAGGCCUAUCUUUUCUUUCUCCACAAAUUGCUGGAUCACUGGAGGGUGCCGAGGGUCAACCUCCAGAUACAGAAGUCUGGCGAGAUCUCGCCAGUCUUACCGAAGGAUCUCAGGUUCCAGGGAUGCCAUGUCCUGGGAGAACAGCUGUCCAUGUCGAAGACAGACUGCAGAAGCCUGAUCAAACAGAGGAUUUGCUGAUAUGGAAAGAGGACUCCCAACCACAAUAAAGACCCAAUUCUCUACCAUGAAGGCGCAACAAAGACUAAUGCCUGGGACUCCUCACUACCCACUCUAGCCCAG